RNAcentral lists this small nucleolar RNA (125 nucleotides) under Meriones unguiculatus (Mongolian gerbil). RNAcentral's name for it is "Small nucleolar RNA SNORA17 (ENSMUGG00000020631.1)". It matches the Rfam family "Small nucleolar RNA SNORA17". From Rfam's summary of the family: snoRNA ACA 17 belongs to the H/ACA family of snoRNAs and is predicted to guide pseudouridylation of the 28S rRNA at positions U4659 and U4598. It shares the same host gene together with ACA43. Lineage: Eukaryota; Metazoa; Chordata; Mammalia; Rodentia; Muridae. The record is from RNAcentral.
CCUGCCCCUAGAGGCGUUGUAGGUGUGGCUUCUGUGUCACAUGCCAACGGAUGGCAAAGAGGAGAGAGUCCAUGUCUACCCUCAGUUUUCUGACCUAUGAGACAGAAUUUCUAUUUUCUUCUGUU